Non-coding RNA from Ceratotherium simum simum (southern white rhinoceros), 193 nucleotides. The record is from RefSeq and is a predicted model, not a curated record. Lineage: Eukaryota; Metazoa; Chordata; Mammalia; Perissodactyla; Rhinocerotidae.
CUGCGGACGUCCUCAGAGUGACAGGAGGUGGGGAGGAAGGGCUAACUGUCUGCUUGGAGCCUGGGCAUUGAGGCAGGCCUGUGGGUCCAGAAGAAAGAGCCACUUCCUGCAGAGGGAGCAGCCUGGAUGGGAUUCAGACCCAUCCUAACCCGCCCAGCGCCAGGGUCCUACCUGGUACUCCUCCUCCUCUUCC